This 425-nucleotide ribosomal RNA is filed under the name uncultured bacterium. RNAcentral describes it as "partial 16S ribosomal RNA". It matches the Rfam family "Bacterial small subunit ribosomal RNA", at positions 354 to 796 of the family's 1533-position model. The record is from RNAcentral.
GUGGGGAAUCUUAGACAAUGGGGGAAACCCUGAUCUAGCCAUGCCGCGUGAGCGAUGAAGGCCUUAGGGUUGUAAAGCUCUUUCAGCUGGGAAGAUAAUGACGGUACCAGCAGAAGAAGCCCCGGCUAACUCCGUGCCAGCAGCCGCGGUAAUACGGAGGGGGCUAGCGUUGUUCGGAAUUACUGGGCGUAAAGCGCGCGUAGGCGGACCAGAAAGUUGGAGGUGAAAUCCCAGGGCUCAACCUUGGAACUAACUUCAAAACUCCUGGUCUGGAGUUCGAGAGAGGUGAGUGGAAUUCCGAGUGUAGAGGUGAACUUCGUAGUUGUUCGGAGGAACACCAGUGGCGAAGGCGGCUCACUGGCUCGAUACUGACGCUGAGGUGCGAAAGCGUGGGGAGCAAACAGGAUUAGAUACCCGAGUAGUCC